RNAcentral lists this ribosomal RNA (164 nucleotides) under uncultured bacterium. Its description in RNAcentral is "partial 16S ribosomal RNA". It matches the Rfam family "Bacterial small subunit ribosomal RNA", at positions 355 to 511 of the family's 1533-position model. The record is from RNAcentral.
UGGGGAAUAUUGGACAAUGGGCGAAAGCCUGAUCCAGCCAUGCCGCGUGUGUGAAGAAGGUCUUCGGAUUGUAAAGCACUUUAAGUUGGGAGGAAGGGCAGUAAGCUAAUACCUUGCUGUUUUGACGUUACCGACAGAAUAAGCACCGGCUAACUCUGUGCUAG